UCCGGCUCUACGCCGGCAGUCUCUCUAGAGUCCCCGCCAUUACGCGCUGGCAACUAAAGACGGGGGUUGCGCUCGUUGCGGGACUUAACCCAACACCUCACGGCACGAGCUGACGACAGCCAUGCAGCACCUGUACAGGUGUCCCGAAGGACACGGGCUUUCACCCGCUUUAACUAGCAUGUCAAGCCCAGGUAAGGUUCUUCGCGUUGCGUCGAAUUAAACCACAUGCUCCACCGCUUGUGCGGGCCCCCGUCAAUUCCUUUGAGUUUCAGCCUUGCGGCCGUACUCCCCAGGCGGGGCACUUAAUGCGUUAGCGCCGGCACCCAGGGGGUCGCUCCCCCAGGCACCUAGUGCCCAUCGUUUACGGCGUGGACUAC
This 377-nucleotide unclassified non-coding RNA is filed under the name uncultured bacterium. Its description in RNAcentral is "contains 16S-23S intergenic spacer region". The record is from RNAcentral.